RNAcentral lists this ribosomal RNA (507 nucleotides) under Hirudo verbana. Its description in RNAcentral is "partial 12S ribosomal RNA". The record is from RNAcentral. Lineage: Eukaryota; Metazoa; Annelida; Clitellata; Hirudinida; Hirudinidae.
AACAGUAGAAUUCUAAAUUAUAAAAUUUUAUAACGAUAAACUAAAAUUGAUUAAGGGUAAAAUUUAAUAGUAGAGGUUUGAAUUUAUCAUAAUAAAGAUAUUAAUUAAAACAAGGAUUAGAUACCCUUUUAUUUUUAUUCAAUAUAUAAAUUGGAGAGUACGAGCAAUAGCUUAAAAACUAAAGAAUAUGGCGGUGUUUUAUUCGAUCAGGGUGACAUGUAUCUUAAUUUGAUAGUCCACGGUUUUUAAGCCUGACUUUGAAAUUCAGCAUGUGUACUGCCGUUUUACAUAGUUUUAAAAAAUUGUGUAUAAUAUAUGAAUCUUUCAUAUAAUUAGUCAGGUCAAAGCGCAGUCUAUAGUCAGGUGAGAAUGUGUUACAUUUAUUUAAACAUUCAAUUUAUUGAUUUAAAUUUUAAUAAGAAGAAGAACUUGAUAGUAAUUAGAUUGAUUAAAUUUAAUGAAAAGGAUUUUAACGCGUACAAAUCGCCCGUCACUCCUUUAUAAAGG